GCCCUCGUGGCCUAACGGAUAAGGCAUUGGUCUCCUAAACCGGGGAUCGCGGGUUCGAAUCUCGCGGAGGGUA
This 73-nucleotide transfer RNA is filed under the name Araneus ventricosus. It matches the Rfam family "tRNA". From Rfam's summary of the family: Transfer RNA (tRNA) molecules are approximately 80 nucleotides in length. Their secondary structure includes four short double-helical elements and three loops (D, anti-codon, and T loops). Further hydrogen bonds mediate the characteristic L-shaped molecular structure. tRNAs have two regions of fundamental functional importance: the anti-codon, which is responsible for specific mRNA codon recognition, and the 3' end, to which the tRNAs corresponding amino acid is attached (by aminoacyl-tRNA synthetases). tRNAs cope with the degeneracy of the genetic code in two manners: having more than one tRNA (with a specific anti-codon) for a particular amino acid; and 'wobble' base-pairing, i.e. permitting non-standard base-pairing at the 3rd anti-codon position. The record is from Rfam by way of RNAcentral. Lineage: Eukaryota; Metazoa; Arthropoda; Arachnida; Araneae; Araneidae.